This 424-nucleotide ribosomal RNA is filed under the name Aphelenchoides sp. ex Grus americana W323. Its description in RNAcentral is "SSU rRNA". It matches the Rfam family "Eukaryotic small subunit ribosomal RNA", at positions 372 to 808 of the family's 1831-position model. Lineage: Eukaryota; Metazoa; Nematoda; Chromadorea; Rhabditida; Aphelenchoididae. RNAcentral also lists the same sequence under 1 other name. The record is from RNAcentral.
AGGGUCUGACUCCGGAGAGGGAGCCUUAGAAACGGCUACCAUGUCUAAGGAUAGCAGCAGGCGCGAAAAUUACCCAAUAUCAAUACGAUGAGGUAGUGACGAGAAAUAACGAGUCCGUUCUCUCUGAGGUCGGACAUUGGAAUGGGUACAAUCUAGACAAUUUAACGAGUAUCUACGAGAGGGCAAGUCUGGUGCCAGCAGCCGCGGUAAUUCCAGCUCUCGUAAUACAUAGAAUUAUUGUUGCGGUUAAAAAGUUCGUAGUUGAUUAGCGAACCGUUCGGGGUGCAUCCUAACGGGUGUCACUCGUCGGACGGUAUUUUGUGCGUUUGUGCACGGCGACUUUCGGGUUGCUCGUGUGCUGCGUGCAGGAUUACUUUGAACGGCUUAAGUGCUCAAGGCGGGUCUUACGACCGAAUACCGGUGC